AGCUGCUGGUCUAUGGAUCCC
Molecule: microRNA, 21 nt
Filed under: Eugenia uniflora (Surinam cherry)
Lineage: Eukaryota; Viridiplantae; Streptophyta; Magnoliopsida; Myrtales; Myrtaceae
Description: eun-miR159-5p
Gene: eun-miR159-5p
Source: miRBase by way of RNAcentral